RNAcentral lists this ribosomal RNA (502 nucleotides) under uncultured bacterium. Its description in RNAcentral is "partial 16S ribosomal RNA". It matches the Rfam family "Bacterial small subunit ribosomal RNA", at positions 29 to 523 of the family's 1533-position model. The record is from RNAcentral.
AUUGAACGCUGGCGGCGUGCUUAACACAUGCAAGUCGAUCGGUAACAGGUGUAGCAAUACAUGCUGACGAGAGGCGGACGGGUGAGGAAUAUUUGGGAAUCUGCCCAUCAGCGGGGGACAACCCGGGGAAACCCGGGCUAAUACCGCAUACGCUCUACGGAGGAAAGCCGGGGACCGCAAGGCCUGGCACUGAUGGAUGGGCCCAAAUCGGAUUAGCUAGUUGGCGGGGUAACGGCCCACCAAGGCGGCGAGCCGUAGCUGGUCUGAGAGGACGAUCAGCCACACCGGAACUGAGACACGGGCCGGACUCCUACGGGAGGCAGCAGUGGGGAAUAUUGGACAAUGGGGGAAACCCUGAUCCAGCGACGCCGCGUGGGUGAGGAAGGCCUGCGGGUUGUAAAGCCCUUUCGGUAGGGACGAAAGCUCUUGCUCUAAUAAUGCAAGAGGUUGACUUAACCUACAUAAGAAGCACCGGCUAACUCUGUGCCAGCCGCCGCGGUAA